GAAGGAUCAUUAUUGAAAUAAACCUGAUGAGUUGCUGCUGGUUCUCUAGGGAGCAUGUGCACACUUGUCAUCUUUAUAUCUCCACCUGUGCACCUUUUGUAGACCUGGAUAUCCCUCUGAAUGCUAGUCACUCAGGUUUGAGGAUUGACUUUAUGUCUCUCCUUGCAUUUCCAGGCCUAUGUUUCUUUAUAUACCCAAUGUAUGUCAUAGAAUGUAAUCAAUGGGCCUUUGUGCCUAUAAACCUAUACAACUUUCAGCAACGGAUCUCUUGGCUCUCGCAUCGAUGAAGAACGCAGCGAAAUGCGAUAAGUAAUGUGAAUUGCAGAAUUCAGUGAAUCAUCGAAUCUUUGAACGCACCUUGCGCUCCUUGGUAUUCCGAGGAGCAUGCCUGUUUGAGUGUCAUUAAUAUAUCAACCUCUUCAACUUUUGUUUGUCGGGUGUUGGAUUUGGGGGUCUUUUUUGCUGGUCUUGUAUCCUACAGGUCAGCUCCCCUGAAAUACAUUAGCAGAACAAUUUGUGAACCGUUCAUUGGUGUGAUAACUAUCUACGCUAUUGACGUGAAACAGGUUCAGCUUCUAACAGUCCAUUGACUUGGACAACUUUUCAUUAAUGUGACCUCAAAUCAGGUAGGACUACCCGCUGAACUUAAGCAUAUCAAUAAGCGGAGGAAAAGAAACUAACAAGGAUUCCCCUAGUAACUGCGAGUGAAGCGGGAAAAGCUCAAAUUUAAAAU
RNAcentral lists this ribosomal RNA (733 nucleotides) under uncultured Cortinarius. RNAcentral's name for it is "eukaryotic LSU rRNA". The stretch from base 249 to 402 matches the Rfam family "5.8S ribosomal RNA". The record is from RNAcentral. Lineage: Eukaryota; Fungi; Basidiomycota; Agaricomycetes; Agaricales; Cortinariaceae.